ACGGGAGGCAGCAGUGAGGAAUAUUGGUCAAUGGGCGGAAGCCUGAACCAGCCAAGUCGCGUGAAGGAUGAAGGUAUUAUGUAUUGUAAACUUCUUUAGCUGUGGAGCAAUAAUCGCCAUGCAUGGCGAGAUGAGAGUACACAGAGAAUAAGGAUCGGCUAACUCCGUGCCAGCAGCCGCGGUAAUACGGAGGAUCCGAGCGUUAUCCGGAUUUAUUGGGUUUAAAGGGAGCGUAGGCGGUAGAUCAAGUCAGCUGUGAAAUAUAGGUGCUCAACAUCUGGACUGCAGUUGAAACUGGUUUACUUGAGUGCGUAAGAGGCAGGCGGAAUUCGUCGUGUAGCGGUGAAAUGCUUAGAUAUGACGAAGAACUCCGAUUGCGAAGGCAGCUUGCUGGGCCGCAACUGACGCUGAAGCUCGAAGGUGCGGGUAUCGAACAGGAUUAGAUACCCUGGUA
This 454-nucleotide ribosomal RNA is filed under the name uncultured Prevotellaceae bacterium. RNAcentral's name for it is "partial 16S ribosomal RNA". It matches the Rfam family "Bacterial small subunit ribosomal RNA", at positions 341 to 792 of the family's 1533-position model. The record is from RNAcentral. Lineage: Bacteria; Pseudomonadati; Bacteroidota; Bacteroidia; Bacteroidales; Prevotellaceae.